AUUGCAGAGAAAAUUGUGACCUGUUUGAUGUCGAAGUGCCUGCACCAUCGACAUCACAGGCGCCUGCACCAUCUCCGGCCACCAUCACCAGCACCAUCAACCCACUACCCUCCUUCGCCCGCAAUGUUUAUAGAGGUUGGAGGCAGCAGCACAGCCAGCACGUCGAAGACACCGCGACCCUCUCGGAGGUCGCUUAGUGAUGAUGAAAUCGUUCAUCAUUUAAACUAUGGGAGUGAAUUAUCGACACCGAUGAGGAGGAUGACGACAUUGUGCCCCUCUUGGUGUCCAGGGUGUACCAGGAGUCACUCGACAGUCCGGUGGACCCAGAAGUGCUCCAGCCUGCUGCCGCCGAGCCUGGAGAUGGUGACGUUUUGGGGUUAGCAGGUCUAGGUGAUAGUGCACUGCGACCUGUUGAUCUCUUUGACUUUGUGUGGACGGAUUAUCCCAGCUCUCCCUUACCAUCAAGCGAGAAAGGGAGCGGUUCACUCCUGAUUAUGUUGGCCCCACUUUGCCAUGUGAAAAUGAGUAUGACAGUUUCACUGCCAUUUGGGACCAACAUAAUAUAAUGGCCCACGUCAAUUUUUGGAAAGAGACGACAAUAGACGAGCUUUACACCUUAUUUGCA
Leptidea sinapis is the source of this 625-nucleotide long non-coding RNA. RefSeq lists it as uncharacterized. Lineage: Eukaryota; Metazoa; Arthropoda; Insecta; Lepidoptera; Pieridae. The transcript is spliced from 3 exons. The record is from RefSeq and is a predicted model, not a curated record.